AACGUAGGAGACAAACGUUAUCCGGAGUUACUGGGCGUAAAGGGCGUGUAGGUGGUAAUGUAAGUCUGGCGUGAAAUUUUUCGGCUUAACCGGGAAAGGUCGUCGGAUACUGCAUCACUAGAGGACGGUAGAGGCAGAUGGAAUUCCCGGUGUAGCGGUGGAAUGCGUAGAGAGUCGGGAAGAACAUCGGUGGCGAAGGCGGCCAUCUGGACCAGCACUGACACUGAGGCACGAAAGCGUGGGGAGCAAACAGG
Molecule: ribosomal RNA, 254 nt
Filed under: uncultured bacterium
Lineage: Bacteria
Description: partial 16S ribosomal RNA
Rfam family: Bacterial small subunit ribosomal RNA
Source: RNAcentral